CCUACGGGAGGCAGCAGUGAGGAAUAUUGGUCAAUGGUCGCAAGACUGAACCAGCCAUGCCGCGUGCAGGAAGACGGUCCUAUGGAUUGUAAACUGCUUUUAUACAGGAAGAAACCCUCCCACGUGUGGGAGCUUGACGGUACUGUAGGAAUAAGGAUCGGCUAACUCCGUGCCAGCAGCCGCGGUAAUACGGAGGAUCCAAGCGUUAUCCGGAAUCAUUGGGUUUAAAGGGUCCGUAGGCGGUCUUAUAAGUCAGUGGUGAAAGCCCAUCGCUCAACGAUGGAACUGCCAUUGAUACUGUAAGACUUGAAUGCUUAGGAAGUAACUAGAAUAUGUAGUGCAGCGGUGAAAUGCUUAGAUAUUACAUGGAAUACCAAUUGCGAAGGCAGGUUACUACUAAGUGAUUGACGCUGAUGGACGAAAGCGUGGGGAGCGAACAGGAUUAGAUACCCUGGUAGUCCACGCCGUAAACGAUGGAUACUAGCUGUUCGGCGCAAGUUGAGUGGCUAAGCGAAAGUGAUAAGUAUCCCACCUGGGGAGUACGCACGCAAGUGUGAAACUCAAAGGAAUUGACGG
RNAcentral lists this ribosomal RNA (576 nucleotides) under uncultured Bacteroidota bacterium. RNAcentral's name for it is "bacterial SSU rRNA". It matches the Rfam family "Bacterial small subunit ribosomal RNA", at positions 338 to 916 of the family's 1533-position model. Lineage: Bacteria; Pseudomonadati; Bacteroidota. The record is from RNAcentral.